This 837-nucleotide ribosomal RNA is filed under the name Psilenchus hilarulus. RNAcentral describes it as "SSU rRNA". It matches the Rfam family "Eukaryotic small subunit ribosomal RNA", at positions 51 to 899 of the family's 1831-position model. Lineage: Eukaryota; Metazoa; Nematoda; Chromadorea; Rhabditida; Tylenchidae. The record is from RNAcentral.
AUGCAUGUAUAAGUAUAAACGAUUUAAUCGUGAAACCGCGAACGGCUCAUUAUAACAGCUAUAAUUUACUUGAUCUUGACAACCUACUUGGAUAACUGUGGUAAUUCUAGAGCUAAUACAUGCACAAAUGCUCUGACCUUACGGGAGGAGCGCAUUUAUUAGAACAAAACCAAGCGACUUCGGUCGUUUUUUGUUGACUCAGAAUAACUAAGCUGAUCGCAUGGUCUUGUACCGGCGACGUGUCUUUCAAGUAUCUGCCUUAUCAACUUUCGAUGGUAGUAUAUUUGACUACCAUGGUGGUGACGGGUAACGGAGGAUAAGGGUUCGACUCCGGAGAAGGGGCCUGAGAAAUGGCCACUACGUCUAAGGAUGGCAGCAGGCGCGCAAAUUACCCACUCUCAGAACGAGGAGGUAGUGACGAAAAAUAACGAGGCCGUUCUCUACGAGGCCGGUCAUCGGAAUGGGUACAAUUUAAACCCUUUAACGAGUAUCUAUGAGAGGGCAAGUCUGGUGCCAGCAGCCGCGGUAAUUCCAGCUCUCAAAAUGCAUAGAAUUAUUGCUGCGGUUAAAAAGCUCGUAGUUGGAUCUGUGCUUGGGACUUGGUCCACCUUCGGGUGCGUACUGAGCUUCCUAGCUUUUUGCCGGUUUUCCCGUCGUAGCCUUCAUUGGUUGCGGCGGGUGGCUGGCGAUUUUACUUUGAACAAAUCAGAGUGCUUAACACAGGCGUUUUGCUUGAAUGUUCUUGCAUGGAAUAAUAGAAAAGGAUUUCGGUUCUAUUUUAUUGGUUUUAUAGACUGAGAUAAUGGUUAACAGAGACAAACGGGGGCAUUCGUAUCG